This 393-nucleotide ribosomal RNA is filed under the name uncultured bacterium. RNAcentral's name for it is "bacterial SSU rRNA". It matches the Rfam family "Bacterial small subunit ribosomal RNA", at positions 28 to 412 of the family's 1533-position model. The record is from RNAcentral.
GACGAACGCUGGCGGCGCGCUUAACACAUGCAAGUCGAGCGAUAACCAUGGCUUCGGCUAUGGGGAGGAGCGGCGAACGGGUGAGUAAACACGUGAGUAAAUCUGCCCUCGACACUGGGAUAGCCCGGGGAAACCCGGAUUAAUACCGGAUAGCCUCUCGAGCUUUCGGGCUCGUGAGAAAAGAUGGCUUCGGCAUUCGGUUGAGGAGGAGCUUGCGGCGGAUUAGCUUGUUGGUGAGGUAACGGCCCACCAAGGCGACGAUCCGUAGCUGGUCUGAGAGGACGAUCAGCCACACUGGGACUGAGACACGGCCCAGACUCCUACGGGAGGCAGCAGUGGGGAAUCUUGCGCAAUGGGCGAAAGCCUGACGCAGCGACGCCGCGUGAGGAAGAA